This 292-nucleotide ribosomal RNA is filed under the name uncultured Alphaproteobacteria bacterium. RNAcentral describes it as "partial 16S ribosomal RNA". Lineage: Bacteria; Pseudomonadati; Pseudomonadota; Alphaproteobacteria. The record is from RNAcentral.
GGACUACUGGGGUAUCUAAUCCUGUUUGCUCCCCACGCUUUCGCACCUCAGCGUCAAUACCAGUCCAGUGAGCCGCCUUCGCCACUGGUGUUCUUCCGAAUAUCUACGAAUUUCACCUCUACACUCGGAAUUCCACUCACCUCUCCUGGAUUCAAGCGAUGCAGUCUUAAAGGCAAUUCUGGAGUUGAGCUCCAGGCUUUCACCUCUAACUUACAAAGCCGCCUACGUGCGCUUUACGCCCAGUAAUUCCGAAUAACGCUAGCUCCCUCCGUAUUACCGCGGCGGCUGGCAC